RNAcentral lists this long non-coding RNA (935 nucleotides) under Homo sapiens (human). RNAcentral's name for it is "long intergenic non-protein coding RNA 1503". Lineage: Eukaryota; Metazoa; Chordata; Mammalia; Primates; Hominidae. The record is from RNAcentral.
AGAGCCUCACACUUGCUGCCUCCUCUGCCUGGAACUCUCUCCCUCUGCUCUCACAGGGUUCCCUAAGUGUCGCUUCCUCCAAGAAGCCCUCCCUGAUGAGUUGAGCCACUUUAGUUUGUGCUCAGGCUCACCCUGCACGUCUUGGUUGCUCUCAUCACUGUAAUGAUCUAAAACACACGUCUGCUCAUGAGACCCGCAUCCCACCCCCGAUGCUGGGGCCGCUCUUGGAUUUUCAUGCCUGCUGCCAGCACCCAGGGGGAGCUCCGGAAAUGUCUGCUGGGGGCUCGGAAUACCCACCUUUCUGGUAAUGCAGCCCAGCGGGUCCCAGCCUCGUUUUCCAGCCCUCACUCAAAAUGGAGUCGCUCUGGUUCGAACGCCUCUGACAAGUGUGUACCUACGUGUCAGGGCCUUUGUCUUGGUGUCACCCUGCCUGAGCUGGCCCCAACCACAGUAGCAACAGUGAUGCUGAUGUGUGACUGCUGCCAGGAGCCUGCUCACAUGACCGUGUGGAGAAAGUUCUUUCCCUGAGGACCAUCUGGAGUGGACGCGUGCACUACCCCUCUCUGAAUACACCCUCCCCACGAGGCCCUCUGGAGCAUCCUGUAGAGCCAGCCCCUACCCAGAGACCCUGAGCCCAGAGAAUGCGCUGGGUGGUGAGCCUGGGGACGAAUGCAGAGCCCUAGGUCUCCUCUCCAGAAAGACCGGAUUUUGCCAUGUUGGCCAGGCUGGUCUUGAACUCCUGACCUCAAGUGAUCCACCUGCCUCGGCCUCCCAAAGUGCAGGGAUUACAGGUGUGAGCCACUGCACCCGGCCUCAGGCAGGUAUUUUUACCAGCCGAAUACUCUUGCACUGUGCACUCUUCGUGUUCAUCAUCAGUCCCCCGGAUGGGUGUUUAAGGCAUUUCCAAAGCUCUGUUAUUAAAAACACGAUGCAAU